This 74-nucleotide transfer RNA is filed under the name Planctomycetota bacterium. RNAcentral describes it as "tRNA-His". It matches the Rfam family "tRNA". Rfam says of the family: Transfer RNA (tRNA) molecules are approximately 80 nucleotides in length. Their secondary structure includes four short double-helical elements and three loops (D, anti-codon, and T loops). Further hydrogen bonds mediate the characteristic L-shaped molecular structure. tRNAs have two regions of fundamental functional importance: the anti-codon, which is responsible for specific mRNA codon recognition, and the 3' end, to which the tRNAs corresponding amino acid is attached (by aminoacyl-tRNA synthetases). tRNAs cope with the degeneracy of the genetic code in two manners: having more than one tRNA (with a specific anti-codon) for a particular amino acid; and 'wobble' base-pairing, i.e. permitting non-standard base-pairing at the 3rd anti-codon position. The record is from RNAcentral. Lineage: Bacteria; Pseudomonadati; Planctomycetota.
GAGGUAGUAGCUCAGUUGGUUAGAGCGUCGGAUUGUGGCUCCGAAGGCCGGGGGUUCAAGUCCCCUCUAUCUCC